AAGAGUUUGAUCCUGGCUCAGGAUUAACGCUGGCGGCGUGCCUAAUACAUGCAAGUCGAACGGAAACCUUCGGGUUUUAGUGGCGAACGGGUGAGUAACACGUAAGCAACCUACCCUAAAGACGAGGAUAACCAUUGGAAACAGUGGCUAAGACUGGAUAGGAAGAAAUAAGGCAUCUUUUUUCUUUUAAAAGACCUAGUGAUAGGUAUACUUUAGGAGGGGCUUGCGCCAUAUUAGUUAGUUGGUAGGGUAAUGGCCUACCAAGACGAUGAUGUGUAGCUGGACUGAGAGGUUGAACAGCCACAUUGGGACUGAGACACGGCCCAAACUCCUACGGGAGGCAGCAGUAGGGAAUUUUCGGCAAUGGAGGAAACUCUGACCGAGCAACGCCGCGUGAACGACGAAGUACUUUGGUAUGUAAAGUUCUUUUAUCAAGGAAGAAAAGCAAGUGGUGAACCAUUUGUUUGCCGGUACUUGAUGAAUAAGCCCCGGCUAAUUAUGUGCCAGCAGCCGCGGUAAGACAUAAGGGGCAAGUGUUAUCCGGAAUUAUUGGGCGUAAAGGGUGCGUAGGCGGUCUAGUAAGUCAGUGGUGUAAUGGCAACGCUCAACGUUGUCCGGCUAUUGAAACUGCUAAACUUGAGUUAGAUAGAGGCGAGUGGAAUUCCAUGUGUAGCGGUAAAAUGCGUAAAUAUAUGGAGGAACACCAGAGGCGUAGGCGGCUCGCUGGGUCUUAACUGACGCUGAGGCACGAAAGCGUGGGGAGCAAACAGGAUUAGAYACCCUGGUAGUCCACGCCGUAAACGAUGAGUACUAAGUGUCGGGUUAAACCGGUACUGAAGUUAACACAUUAAGUACUCCGCCUGAGUAGUACGUACGCAAGUAUGAAACUUAAAGGAAUUGACGGGACUCCGCACAAGCGGUGGAUCAUGUUGUUUAAUUCGAAGAUACCCGAAAAACCUUACCAGGUCUUGACAUGUUUUUGCGAAACGGUAGUAAUAUCGUGGAGGUUAUCAGAAACACAGGUGGUGCAUGGUUGUCGUCAGCUCGUGUCGUGAGAUGUUAGGUUAAGUCCUAAAACGAGCGAAACCCUUAUCGUUAGUUGCCAGCACGUUAUGGUGGGGACUUUAACGAGACUGCCAGUGAUAAAUUGGAGGAAGGUGAGGAUCACGUCAAAUCAGCAUGCCCCUUAUGACCUGGGCUACAAACGUGAUACAAUGGCUGUUACAAAGGGUAGCUGAAACGCAAGUUCUUGGCCAAUCCCCAAAAACAGUCUCAGUCCGGAUUGAAGUCUGCAACUCGACUUCAUGAAGUUGGAAUCGCUAGUAAUCGCGAAUCAGCAUGUCGCGGUGAAUACGUUCUCGGGGUUUGUACACACCGCCCGUCAAACCACGAAAGUUGGCAAUACCCCAAAACGGUAGCCUAACUCGUUUAUCGAGAGGGCGCUGUCUAAGGUAGGGUCGAUGAUUGGGGUUAAGUCGUAACAAGGUAUCCCUACCGGAAGGUGGGGAUGGAUCACCUCCUU
This 1522-nucleotide ribosomal RNA is filed under the name Candidatus Phytoplasma citri. Its description in RNAcentral is "bacterial SSU rRNA". It matches the Rfam family "Bacterial small subunit ribosomal RNA". The record is from RNAcentral. Lineage: Bacteria; Bacillati; Mycoplasmatota; Mollicutes; Acholeplasmatales; Acholeplasmataceae.